Long non-coding RNA from Gallus gallus (chicken), 1340 nucleotides. The record is from Ensembl. NCBI's taxonomy places the organism in Eukaryota, Metazoa, Chordata, Aves, Galliformes, Phasianidae.
CUCCUUGAGGGAGAGCAUCUCAUGUUGGGCACAGCAGGAGAAGUGUUAACAGGAUGCAGGUGUUGCUGCUCUUCCCAGGACUGGUUUGGUCUCAGCAGUGGGUACAGUCCUUGGCUGCUGUCUGUCUGCCCCUAGCUAUGGCUGCAGAGCUGCUUUUGGCAGUCAGGAGCAGCAGGACACAACCCUAUAGUGACCCCAUGAGAGUGGUCCUCAGAGGCAGGACCAGGCCCUCAUCUCCCUGUAAGGAGAAGAAAUAACAUGGGUUUGAAACCUCUGAACUGCAAACAGCUUGGAAACCUGACAAAAUGCAUUGCUGCCACCUCUACUCCCUGACAUAAUUUUGUUCUGUUAUACCUGACUGCAUAGCUGUAAAUACUCAAUACAGCAGGGGUUAAUGCUGUGAGUAUGCUGCCAGUUCUGGAUGGACAGAAAGAAGAGCCACAAUAACUGAAUAUAAUGCAAUGUAGAGAUGCAAUUUAACAUAGACAAACUGCAGCUGAUUGACUUAUUACACUCUUAGAAGAAAAUUCUCCAACCACUCUCAAUCUGAGUAACAAAGUGGAUGAAAGCUCCAGCUUUUGCACUGAAUUCCCUGUUUCUGGGCUCCUUGCUGCUGGGGGCUCCCAUUUACCUGAGGACGAGACUGCUGGCUCUGUGUGUGCUCAUAUGAACUUGGGGAAAACCUCUGGUGUGGAUAUGAAGGAUUGAAAAUGAGCAAUAAAUAAUAGCAAAAUAGUGGGCUCUAAUACAUUCUGCUAAGAUACUGGACUGUUUUCAGUUCUGUGCAGCUGACAGUUUUCUGUUUUCAAUAACUUAAAGUGGAGCCAUAGAAUUUCAAUCACCUUCCAUCUUAUGGAGAGCUGAAUUCCUUCAGAAUAACUCAGAGGAAUUGACUGAACCGUAUUUUUCAUGUUUCCCAAAUGAGCAGCGCUGUGCCAUGGAAAUUAGGAUGGAACGGGAAACAGACGGCUGUGCUACCUCCAUCCUGCUGAGGAGAUGAAGGUCAAAGACACCUUCAUUCUUCUCAGCACUUUUCCCAAAGGGAUUGUAAACAAGAUCACAGCCUAGUGCGAUUAAUUGUGAAUAAAACCAAUUCCUAUUGCCUCCUAACCAGACUGAGAGCAACUUCUUUUGGUUACAGUAGACACUGUAUUUGAUAGUGUCCUCUUCCCACCGUAUCUUGGCCUUGAACUGGUUUAUAUCAGAUAAGAUAUAGAAAAAUUAAGAGAACUUCUUGCAUGUUUGACCCUUGUUGUGUUAUUUUCAUGCUUCUGUCCCCUUAUUGCAAUUCUGCAACAUAAAAAAAAAGAAAAAAAAGCCCAACGUUUAUUAGGUAGCCA